RNAcentral lists this ribosomal RNA (446 nucleotides) under uncultured bacterium. RNAcentral's name for it is "bacterial SSU rRNA". It matches the Rfam family "Bacterial small subunit ribosomal RNA", at positions 329 to 792 of the family's 1533-position model. The record is from RNAcentral.
UCCCAGACUCCUACGGGAGGCAGCAGUGGGGAAUAUUGCACAAUGGGGGGAACCCUGAUGCAGCGACGCCGCGUGAGUGAAGAAGUAUUUCGGUAUGUAAAGCUCUAUCAGCAGGGAAGAUAAUGACGGUACCUGACUAAGAAGCCCCGGCUAACUACGUGCCAGCAGCCGCGGUAAUACGUAGGGGGCAAGCGUUAUCCGGAUUUACUGGGUGUAAAGGGUGCGUAGGUGGCAGGGCAAGUCAGAUGUGAAAGCCCGGGGCCCAACCCCGGUACUGCAUUUGAAACUGUCCGGCUGGAGUGCAGGAGAGGUAAGCGGAAUUCCUAGUGUAGCGGUGAAAUGCGUAGAUAUUAGGAGGAACACCAGUGGCGAAGGCGGUCUGCUGGACAGCAACUGACGCUGAGGCGCGAAAGCGUGGGGAGCAAACAGGAUUAGAUACCCCUGUA